AGAGUUUGAUUCUGGCUCAGAUUGAACGCUGGCGGAAUGCUUUACACAUGCAAGUCGAACGGCAGCACGGGAGCUUGCUCCUGGUGGCGAGUGGCGAACGGGUGAGUAAUGCGUCGGAACGUACCGAGUAAUGGGGGAUAACGCAGCGAAAGCUGUGCUAAUACCGCAUACGCCCUGAGGGGGAAAGUGGGGGAUCGCAAGACCUCACGUUAUUCGAGCGGCCGACGUCUGAUUAGCUAGUUGGUGGGGUAAAGGCCUACCAAGGCGACGAUCAGUAGCGGGUCUGAGAGGAUGAUCCGCCACACUGGGACUGAGACACGGCCCAGACUCCUACGGGAGGCAGCAGUGGGGAAUUUUGGACAAUGGGGGCAACCCUGAUCCAGCCAUUCCGCGUGAGUGAAGAAGGCCUUCGGGUUGUAAAGCUCUUUCAGCUGGAACGAAACGGUACGCUCUAACAUAGCGUGCUAAUGACGGUACCGGCAGAAGAAGCACCGGCUAACUACGUGCCAGCAGCCGCGGUAAUACGUAGGGUGCGAGCGUUAAUCGGAAUUACUGGGCGUAAAGCGUGCGCAGGCGGAUUGUUAAGCAAGACGUGAAAGCCCCGGGCUUAACCUGGGAAUGGCGUUUUGAACUGGCAGUCUAGAGUGCGUCAGAGGGGGGUGGAAUUCCACGUGUAGCAGUGAAAUGCGUAAAGAUGUGGAGGAACACCAAUGGCGAAGGCAGCCCCCUGGGAUGACACUGACGCUCAUGUACGAAAGCGUGGGUAGCAAACAGGAUUAGAUACCCUGGUAGUCCACGCCCUAAACGAUGUCAACUGGUUGUUGGGGGAGUGAAAUCCCUUAGUAACGAAGCUAACGCGUGAAGUUGACCGCCUGGGGAGUACGGUCGCAAGAUUAAAACUCAAAUGAAUUGACGG
Molecule: ribosomal RNA, 916 nt
Filed under: uncultured bacterium
Lineage: Bacteria
Description: bacterial SSU rRNA
Rfam family: Bacterial small subunit ribosomal RNA
Source: RNAcentral